Molecule: ribosomal RNA, 513 nt
Filed under: uncultured bacterium
Lineage: Bacteria
Description: bacterial SSU rRNA
Rfam family: Bacterial small subunit ribosomal RNA
Source: RNAcentral
GAUCCUGGCUUAGGAUGAACGCUAGCUACAGGCUUAACACAUGCAAGUCGAGGGGCAGCAUGUGGUUGCUUGCAACCAAUGAUGGCGACCGGCGCACGGGUGAGUAACGCGUAUCCAACCUUCCCCUUAGUAGAGGAUAGCCCGGCGAAAGUCGGAUUAAUACUCUAUGUUCUUCAAUGCGGACAUCUAAGUUGAAGCAAAGAUUUAUCGCUAAGGGAUGGGGAUGCGUCUGAUUAGGUUGCAGGCGGGGUAACGGCCCACCUGGCCUACGAUCAGUAGGGGUUCUGAGAGGAAGGUCCCCACACUGGUACUGAGACACGGACCAGACUCCUACGGGAGGCAGCAGUGAGGAAUAUUGGUCAAUGGGCGCGAGCCUGAACCAGCCAAGUAGCGUGCAAGGACGACUGCCCUAUGGGUUGUAAACUGCUUUUAUCAGGGAAUAAAGUGAGGCACGCGUGCCUUUUUGUAUGUACCUGAUGAAUAAGGACCGGCUAAUUCCGUGCCAGCCGCCGC